This 497-nucleotide ribosomal RNA is filed under the name uncultured bacterium. Its description in RNAcentral is "partial 16S ribosomal RNA". It matches the Rfam family "Bacterial small subunit ribosomal RNA", at positions 28 to 507 of the family's 1533-position model. The record is from RNAcentral.
GAUGAACGCUGGCGGCGUGCCUAAUACAUGCAAGUCGAGCGAACGGACGAGAAGCUUGCUUCUCUGAUGUUAGCGGCGGACGGGUGAGUAACACGUGGAUAACCUACCUAUAAGACUGGGAUAACUUCGGGAAACCGGAGCUAAUACCGGAUGAUAUUUUGAACCGCAUGGUUCAAAAGUGAAAGACGGUCUUGCUGUCACUUAUAGAUGGAUCCGCGCUGCAUUAGCUAGUUGGUAAGGUAACGGCUUACCAAGGCAACGAUGCAUAGCCGACCUGAGAGGGUGAUCGGCCACACUGGAACUGAGACACGGUCCAGACUCCUACGGGAGGCAGCAGUAGGGAAUCUUCCGCAAAGGGCGAAAGCCUGACGGAGCAACGCCGCGUGAGUGAUGAAGGUCUUCGGAUCGUAAAACUCUGUUAUUAGGGAAGAACAUAUGUGUAAGUAGCUGUGCACAUCUUGACGGUACCUAAUCAGAAAGCCACGGCUAACUACGUG